UAUCCCUUUCUUCUCCAACAUAAUGGAAACUUUUAUGAUGUCAACAUUUUAUAUUAUUUGCUAUUAUCUCUAAUCUGUAAGAAAGAACAUGGUAGCAAGAAAUUUUCAGUAACUGUACAUUAAAAGAAGGAACCAGGUCGGUAAGAGAGGUCAGUAAGAGAUGACAGCGGUGGGAGAGGAGGUAAAAUUCACACAAUAUUUUUAUGCUGUCCUGGAAAUAAUAAGGAAGGUUACCUCAAAAAUUCUAGGAAAAUAUGAAACACCAAUGAAAUAGGAAGCUUUCUUUCUGUUUCUGAGCUGACUGCUUGAUAAAUUCCUUCCAUGCCAAAUAUCCCUGUAGCCCUGUAGCAUUUUGACAUUUAAUUUCUGCUACUAUAGUAGUCCAGAAGAAAUGAUACUAUUUCUUGACUAAUUUUCUCUAAGUGCCAUGUAUUGUGAUUAGCAUUUUCUAUGCAUUAUACUAUUCAAAAAGCUAAUAGGUAUUUAUUCAUUAUGCAUGUGUUCAGUGCGGGUAUGUGGCUCUGUCACAUCACAGGUUGGAGGUCAGAGGACAACAUCCAGGCGUUGUGAAUUCCAUCCUGUGCAUUUCCCCCUCCAGCAUGGGGAUUCUGAGAAUCUGACUGAGAUCUUCAAACUUGAGGCGAGUGCCUUUACUUGUUAAAGAGCCUUUAAUUAAAAAAAAAGACUUAAUAAUUUUGUGUGUGCAUUGACAACUGUGUGGCGUUCAAAGGAAGCCUUGCUGGAGUGGUUUUCACCCUCCACAAUGUAGGUUCUGGAGCUGGAACUCCAGCUGUCAGGCUUGGUGGCAAGAGCCACUGUUUGCUGAGCCUCUUCACUAUCUCCCAUGUUCAUUUCUUAAGACCAUGCCCACGGUAACUGGUAUUCAUCAUCCAAUUUAACCUAGAUGUACAGUGAGAAAACAGAUGCCCCACAACUUUGCCAAGAUUAUUCAAAUAGAAAUGCGAGUUGCCUCAAGGAGCAUGACCCUGGUGCAUACUCUAGGUGGAGGUUAUGAUGAGUGGUACAGGACGCUGGCUCACAAGACUGCGGUGUUCCUAUUUAGAACCUGGGGAACACAGAAUUCUGGGUAACAUGGUCAGAGCUCCUUCUUAGGCAGUCUUGCCCAUCAGCUAGUGAGUCUGUUGAAGCUCCAGGACCUCUUAGAGACCGGCUUAGACACCAGAGAGCAUGAGAGAGGCAUGGAAGCUGUAAUUCAUUCUCCCUCUCUCCCCCUCUCCCCCAACUCUGGAAGGAUGGAAGGAUGGAAGGAUUCAUAAAAUAAAUAGCUGGUUAAUGGUGGUAGGAAUGUGUUUAGGAGGUCACUGCUACUGCCUCCAGUCGCAGUGUUAGGAGACAGAAUCCUACUGAAGACAACGAAAGGCUCUGCAGAGAUUUCUUAACACCUCCUGAGUGGUAUCAGGAAGUGUCUCCAGUUAGCCGGACCAGCCCUGGACUUCACAGAUUUGCCCUCAUCUUCCACGGGGCCACCAGGAGCAGAGUUCUACUGGACCGGGAAAGGCCUGGUGAGCAAGCGCGCAAACCUGUCCACGCCUCUGCAUGUCCUCUUCUGCUUCCUCCAGGUCUCUGCAAACUUAUUAAAUUUUGGACAGUUUGUAAACAGAUGUCAUCAUUUUGAGGGGUUGUAAAGCUCAUACGUGGCAAAUUAAUCCCCAUUUUAUGCCAGGCCCCAUUUAGUAUUUCUAAAGGGAGUGGAUAAUAAAUCCCGCCAACUCUCUCUUUAAGGGCUAUUCAGAUACUAAAUAAACCAAGAACAUUUUAAAAUGCAAUCUCACAAAAA
Molecule: non-coding RNA, 1798 nt
Organism: Rattus norvegicus (Norway rat)
Lineage: Eukaryota; Metazoa; Chordata; Mammalia; Rodentia; Muridae
Source: RefSeq, a predicted model, not a curated record